RNAcentral lists this ribosomal RNA (253 nucleotides) under uncultured bacterium. Its description in RNAcentral is "partial 16S ribosomal RNA". It matches the Rfam family "Bacterial small subunit ribosomal RNA", at positions 524 to 776 of the family's 1533-position model. The record is from RNAcentral.
UACGGAGGGUGCAAGCGUUAUCCGGAUUCACUGGGUUUAAAGGGUGCGUAGGUGGGUCUGUAAGUCAGUGGUGAAAUCCCCGAGCUUAACUUGGGAACUGCCGUUGAUACUAUAGAUCUUGAAUAUCGUGGAGGUAAGCGGAAUAUGUCAUGUAGCGGUGAAAUGCUUAGAUAUGACAUAGAACACCAAUGGCGAAGGCAGCUUACUACACGAUCAUUGACACUGAGGCACGAAAGCGUGGGGAGCAAACAGG